This 439-nucleotide ribosomal RNA is filed under the name uncultured bacterium. RNAcentral describes it as "partial 16S ribosomal RNA". It matches the Rfam family "Bacterial small subunit ribosomal RNA", at positions 338 to 795 of the family's 1533-position model. The record is from RNAcentral.
CCUACGGGAGGCAGCAGUGGGGAAUAUUGCACAAUGGGCGAAAGCCUGAUGCAGCAACGCCGCGUGAGCGAUGAAGGCCUUCGGGUCGUAAAGCUCUGUCCUCAAGGAAGAUAAUGACGGUACUUGUGGAGGAAGCCCCGGCUAACUACGUGCCAGCAGCCGCGGUAAUACGUAGGGGGCUAGCGUUAUCCGGAAUUACUGGGCGAAAAGGGUGCGUAGGUGGUUUCUUAAGUCAGAGGUGAAAGGCUACGGCUCAACCGUAGUAAGCCUUUGAAACUGGGGAACUUGAGUGCAGGAGAGGUGAGUGGAAUUCCUGGUGUAGCGGUGAAAUGCGUAGAUAUUAGGAGGAACACCAGUUGCGAAGGCGGCUCUCUGGACAGUAACUGACGCUGAGGCGCGAAAGCGUGGGGAGCAAACAGGAUUAGAUACCCGGGUAGUC